Long non-coding RNA from Schistocerca nitens (vagrant locust), 1227 nucleotides. RefSeq lists it as uncharacterized. NCBI's taxonomy places the organism in Eukaryota, Metazoa, Arthropoda, Insecta, Orthoptera, Acrididae. The record is from RefSeq and is a predicted model, not a curated record. The transcript is spliced from 3 exons.
GGGGCGUCAGGCAGCUGCGGCCGGAAGACAGCCGCAGCUGCCUGGAUGCGCGGGGGCCCACGUGCGACGCCUCUCCACAGCCCGACACCGAGCUGACGCUGCUCACCAGGGCCUCCACCGGCGGCUUCUAAAGAUGGCGUGGGAGUCCUCCUUCGACGCAGCUGCAUCACGUGCUUCACCUGUUCACCGGCUGGAGUGAAGUGUCCACAACGACGCUUAAAGAAGACAAUUACGAGGACCUGCGCAGUCUCUCCAAUCGCCGACACCAGUGCGGGUGGAGAAUUACACUUUUAUUGGCACGCGGUUUGUUUUAGCGCUGCAGCCUUCCAGCUUCUUGGUCCGUUCCCGCAACACUGUAGUGUGCCAUUUGCCGCCUCGAGUAGCCAUUUCGAGGAGACUUGAUGGCAAAUUGUUCGGCUGCUCCACGCUUGAGCGCGGACCUUUUGAUUGUUUCUGCUUUAUGGGUGCUACAAAGGUUGUAAAAUUUAGUGCUCACUGGAACGCAGCACUUGCAGCUUUACCACGGUAAUUUCGAAUACUUUUGCGGAAGCGUCAUCAGGCGUUUACUGAGGUGCGAAACGCAACCGAGUGCGAAACUCUGCUGGUUACGGCCCGCUGCGCUCGUCAAAUAUUCGCUCGAUUACAGAGGGCGCAGAAGGGGCCACAGCUCCUUUAUUCUCGUCUACAUUUCGCUCUUUGGCCCGUCACGGAUUCUCACUUUUGGUAGACUCCGAACCAUUGGCAGCAGUGGACUUCAAAGACAUUCCUCGCCACAUACCUGCUCAGUCACAGGGAGUCGAGCACGUUUUCUACUGUGCAGAAUUCCUUACGAAUUGAACAGUAAAUUUUGCUUCCAGCCCACUUAGCUACAUUUUCUCAUUGUACAUGUUUGUCUGUCGCGAAACUACUGACAAGGCGUAAUGGUGUUUCUUGAUGUCUUAGGUGUAUCCCAAUUUUCUCUGCAGUGAUUUCCUAUGAUUCACUUCCGAGUGUGUAAAGUGGUACCACGUGUGAGGCCCCACCUCACUGUCAUGAAGUGUCAUCUGCUCGACGUCAUUGUUCUCCGGGCAGCCACGCACCGGCCGGAACAGAGCCCUCAGACAUUUUUCCGACUCGUCUGCUUUCGGCUGCCCGUAACGUACUUUUUUUUCCUAUCUCGAUGUGAAUGUAACCAGUGUUCCAAAAUAUUUGUAUUGACCAACUUACUCUGCCAAAGCCUGUAAUAUU